Molecule: ribosomal RNA, 253 nt
Filed under: uncultured bacterium
Lineage: Bacteria
Description: partial 16S ribosomal RNA
Rfam family: Bacterial small subunit ribosomal RNA
Source: RNAcentral
UACGAAGGGUGCAAGCGUUACUCGGAAUUACUGGGCGUAAAGCGUGCGUAGGUGGUUGUUUAAGUCUGUUGUGAAAGCCCUGGGCUCAACCUGGGAACUGCAGUGGAAACUGGACAACUAGAGUGUGGUAGAGGGUAGCGGAAUUCCCGGUGUAGCAGUGAAAUGCGUAGAUAUCGGUAGGAACACCAGUGGCGAAGGCGGUCUCCUGGGGCAUUCUUGACGCUGAGGCGCGAAAGCUGGGGGAGCAAACGGG